AACAGAGUCGAAUGCCGCCUUUAGGUCCAGGAAGACAACUAUUGUAGGACGCCUAAAUGUGUGUCUGUGUUCCAGGACCUGUCGCAGUUUGAAGAUGUGG
RNAcentral lists this non-coding RNA (100 nucleotides) under Schistosoma japonicum. Lineage: Eukaryota; Metazoa; Platyhelminthes; Trematoda; Strigeidida; Schistosomatidae. The record is from RNAcentral.